CCUACGGGUGGCAGCAGUAGGGGAUAUUCCACAAUGGGGGGAACCCUGAUGCAGCGACGCCGCGUGGGUGAAGGAGUUCUUCGGCAUGUAAAGCCCUAUCGGCAGGGAAGAAGCAAGACGGUACCUGACUAAGAAGCCCCGGCUAAAUACGGGCCGACAGCCGCGGUAAUACGUAGGGGGCGAGCGUUAUCCGGAUCCACGGGGUGGAAAGGGAGCGUAGACGGCCAAGCAAGCCAGGGGUGAAAGCCCGGGGCCCAACCCCGGGACCGCCCUUGGAACUGGAUGGCUAGAGUGAGGGAGGGGCAGGCGGAAUUCCAGGUGUAGCGGUGAAAUGCGUAGAUAUCAGGAGGAACACCGACGGCGAAGGCGGCCUGCUGGACCGCGACUGACGUUGAGGCUCGAAAGCGUGGGGAGCGAACAGGAUUAGAUACCCGAGUAGUC
RNAcentral lists this ribosomal RNA (441 nucleotides) under uncultured bacterium. RNAcentral's name for it is "partial 16S ribosomal RNA". It matches the Rfam family "Bacterial small subunit ribosomal RNA", at positions 338 to 795 of the family's 1533-position model. The record is from RNAcentral.